CACCAUUGGAGUUUAGAGCACUUGAGAACGAGGUUCUUGCCACUCUCCAUCUUCUUGAUCAACCUCUCUGUUUCCGAUUUCGGCCGAUCCAGUUUCGCGUCGAUGCCUUCUAUCUGUUUGAUAAAAGUAUCUAACAGUGCCUCGAUUGCGCCUCCAACAAGAGCGUCUAUAACCACAGACAUAUCCAAAACUCUAAAUUCAAACUGAAUUCAUGGGGAAGAUUAAGAAAUAGGAAGUUGAACUAAAGAGUUUUUAUAUAUAUAAUUUUUGGAAAGCAAGAAGAGGCACACCACACAGUGCAAGUUGCGUUAUAAAAUUAACAAGUAAGCUUUAAUGAAAGGAUGCUUUCUUGAGACGCGGUUAAUUUAGAAAGAAUCAAAUUCUGCCUUCGAAUAUAGUUCUCACUCGUUUUCGCCAGAAUUUUUAAUGUGAAUGCUAUAUGUACGUCUACCAACUUUCGAAUAACAAGCUCAAAGUGGUCCUCAGCAAAAUCAUCAUUCAAAUUCUAAUUGCACAAAAAAGUUAUAGGAUUGGCCGACAUGAGUCAGUUCUUAACUUAUUUUUCGUUAA
Non-coding RNA from Arachis ipaensis, 570 nucleotides. Lineage: Eukaryota; Viridiplantae; Streptophyta; Magnoliopsida; Fabales; Fabaceae. The record is from RefSeq and is a predicted model, not a curated record.